UUCAUAUUGCUUCCUCUCUCCCUCAACCAAACUGAAUCUAUACAAAUUCAGAAACUCCUCCCUCAACCACCAGAACAUCUCACCAACCAUCUCAGAAAUUUAACCUUGCCACCACAACCUUACCUAUUUCAGACGCAGAAAUGCUGAACGAAACCACUUCACCCUAUUCAUCUUCUUCUCUAGAAUCACCCCCCUACUACAA
Molecule: long non-coding RNA, 202 nt
Filed under: Lathyrus oleraceus (garden pea)
Lineage: Eukaryota; Viridiplantae; Streptophyta; Magnoliopsida; Fabales; Fabaceae
Description: Pisum sativum (pea) long non-coding RNA (PSAT_LNC006412)
Source: RNAcentral